AUGGCGCGGCGGGGCACGGAGGCGUUCCCGGACCUGGGCGCGCACUGCGACAGGGAGGACUGCAACCAGCUCGACUUCCUGCCCUUCGACUGCAACGGCUGCGGCAAGGUGUUCUGCACGGAGCACCGCGCGUACGUUGACCACGGCUGCCCGCUCGCGGCCGACAACGGCCGCACCGUCGUCGUCUGCGAGGCCUGCGGCGACUCCAUCGAGCGCGCCGGGUCGGACGAGACGGAUGCGCAGAUCCUCGAGAAGCACGCGCGGUCGCGCCGGGGCUGCGACCCGGCCAGGAAGCUCAAGCCGCGAUGCCCCGCGCGGCGCUGCAAGGAGACACUCACCUUCUCCAACACGAGCCACUGCAAGGAGUGCGGGCAGAAGCUGUGCCUCAAGCACCGGUUCCCCGAGGACCACGGGUGCUCGCGCGUGUCGCCGGUGGGGGCCGCCGCCGCCGCGAGGAGGGCCGGCGACUGCGGCCGCGACGCGCAGAAGACAAAGGACGGCGGUGGGUGGGCGCUGCCGCCGUUGAUCCGGAAUUUCAAUUGA
Molecule: ribosomal RNA, 543 nt
Filed under: Triticum aestivum (bread wheat)
Lineage: Eukaryota; Viridiplantae; Streptophyta; Magnoliopsida; Poales; Poaceae
Description: partial small subunit ribosomal RNA
Source: RNAcentral